CCUACGGGGCGCUGCAGUCGAGAAUCAUUCACAAUGGGGGAAACCCUGAUGGUGCGACGCCGCGUGGGGGAAUGAAGGUCUUCGGAUUGUAAACCCCUGUCAUGUGGGAGCAAAUUAAAAAGAUAGUACCACAAGAGGAAGAGACGGCUAACUCUGUGCCAGCAGCCGCGGUAAUACAGAGGUCUCAAGCGUUGUUCGGAAUCACUGGGCGUAAAGCGUGCGUAGGCUGUUUCGUAAGUCGGGUGUGAAAGGCGCGGGCCCAACCCGCGGACGGCACAUGAUACUGCGAGACUAGAGUAAUGGAGGGGGAACCGGAAUUCUCGGUGUAGCAGUGAAAUGCGUAGAUAUCGAGAGGAACACUCGUGGCGAAGGCGGGUUCCUGGACAUUAACUGACGCUGAGGCACGAAGGCCAGGGGAGCGAAAGGGAUUAGAUACCCCAGUAGUC
This 446-nucleotide ribosomal RNA is filed under the name uncultured bacterium. RNAcentral describes it as "partial 16S ribosomal RNA". It matches the Rfam family "Bacterial small subunit ribosomal RNA", at positions 338 to 795 of the family's 1533-position model. The record is from RNAcentral.